GACGAACGCUGGCGGCGUGCCUAAUACAUGCAAGUUGAGCGCUGAAGGUUGGUACUUGUACCAACUGGAUGAGCAGCGCACGGGUGAGUAACGCGUGGGGAAUCUGCCUUUGAGCGGGGGACAACAUUUGGAAACGAAUGCUAAUACCGCAUAAAAACUUUAAACACAAGUUUUAAGUUUGAAAGAUGCAAUUGCAUCACUCAAAGAUGAUCCCGCGUUGUAUUAGCUAGUUGGUGAGGUAAAGGCUCACCAAGGCGAUGAUACAUAGCCGACCUGAGAGGGUGAUCGGCCGCAUUGGGACUGAGACACGGCCCAAACGCCUACGGGAGGGAGCAGUAGGGAAACUUCGGCAAGCGACGAAAGGCUGAACGAGCAACGCCGCGGGAGUGAAGAAGGUUUUCGGAUCGGAAAACUCGGUUGGUAGAGAAGAACGUUGGUGAGAGUGGAAAGCUCAUCAAGUGACGGUAACUACCCAGAAAGGGACGGCUAACUACGUG
This 497-nucleotide ribosomal RNA is filed under the name uncultured bacterium. Its description in RNAcentral is "partial 16S ribosomal RNA". It matches the Rfam family "Bacterial small subunit ribosomal RNA", at positions 28 to 507 of the family's 1533-position model. The record is from RNAcentral.